This 385-nucleotide ribosomal RNA is filed under the name uncultured bacterium. Its description in RNAcentral is "bacterial SSU rRNA". It matches the Rfam family "Bacterial small subunit ribosomal RNA", at positions 28 to 416 of the family's 1533-position model. The record is from RNAcentral.
GACGAACGCUGGCGGCGUGCUUAACACAUGCAAGUCGAGCGGUAAGGCCCUUUCGGGGGUACACGAGCGGCGAACGGGUGAGUAACACGUGGGUGACCUGCCCUCAGCUCUGGGAUAAGCCUGGGAAACCGGGUCUAAUACUGGAUAUGACUCCAUGACGCAUGUUGUGGGGUGGAAAGCCUUGUGCGGCUGAGGAUGGGCCCGCGGCCUAUCAGCUUGUUGGUGGGGUGAGGCCUACCAAGGCGACGACGGUAGCCGGCCUGAGAGGGCGACCGGCCACACUGGGACUGAGACACGGCCCAGACUCCUACGGGAGGCAGCAGUGGGGAAUCUUGCGCAAUGGGCGAAAGCCUGACGCAGCGACGCCGCGUGAGGGAUGACGGCC